This 1118-nucleotide long non-coding RNA is filed under the name Homo sapiens (human). RNAcentral describes it as "LNC_000031". The record is from RNAcentral. Lineage: Eukaryota; Metazoa; Chordata; Mammalia; Primates; Hominidae.
CGCUCCACGGUCUCGUGGACUUUCUUCAGGAAGUCUCGCUCCCGGCAGCGCUUGGAGUCACGGAUGGUCGUGGCGUACGUGGACUCUGUGAUGAGCAGGUUGGGGCGGCACUUGUCAAUCCAGGCAGCUCUGGAACACGGGGGUGGGGGUGUGAGCCACGAUGCACUGUCCCCACGGUUGCAGGGCUGGGUGUGACAAGCUGGACCCCAGUACCACGCCCAGCCGCCUUCCUAGGUCACUCUGGCUGGAAAGAGCCAGCUGGUAAAAUGCUGUGGGCAGCACACUUGGGAAGAGAGAGGAGAGACAGAGGCACCCACCCAGACACUUCGGAAGAGCGAGACAGAGGCACCCACCCAGAGACUUGGGAAGAGAGAGAAGGAGGGACAGAGGCCCCUGCCUGGACCCUGUGCCUUCGCGCAUUUGGGCCCAGAACGAAGGGGGCUCUCCAGGCCGCACAGGACAUGGGAGACACUGCCAGGCUGGCCACUCAAGGGCUGGCACCCUGACACCUGCAAGGGUCCUGAGCUCCAGGGGGGCCCACGGGACAAAAAGACACCUCAGCCUACUUACCCUAAGUGUCGGUCUGGGGUCAUGUUAUAAUCACCCUGGUGAACGAUCAAGGAUGCCAUGAGGAGGGUGCCUCCCACCCCAGCAGCCCCUCCCAAGCCUCAAGCCCUUCCACUGACCGUGUAGACCACAGACUCUGAGCCCACUUUAAUCUGGAACAUGGCUGCCCCCAGCACGUGGCCUGCAUAGUAGGCCUUGAUCUCCAGCUCAUCAUCUACCUGGACCGUCUGGUGGAGGUGGACAGCCACCACCUUCUUCAUGCAGUCUUUGAUCAUCUGGGAGGUGAAGAAGUUGGCCUCGCCCUUCUUGUCUACGGCGAUCUUGCGGUAGUCCUCCAGCAAGAUGGGGCAGAUGGCCUGGGUGGGGUGAGUCAUGUAGAUGGGCCCGUCGUAGCCCACCAUCUCGCUGAAGUAGGGGAGUGCCCCGCAGUGGUCCAGGUGGAAGUGGCUAGGGGGACGCAGCACAGGUCAGCCUGGGCCCACCCUGCCCCAGCCUUCACCCCCGCUCUGGGCUUGUGGGUCACUGGCCCCUUCAUUCGCCUGCUGUGCGCC